ACGGGGCGCAGCAGGCGCGAAACCUUUACAAUACACGAAAGUGUGAUAAGGGAAUCCUAAGUGCUUAUACAAAGUAUAGGCUCUUGCCAAGGGCAAAUACCUUGGAGAAUAAGCGGUGGGUAAGACUGGUGCCAGCCGCCGCGGUAACACCAGCGCCGCUAGUGGGAAUCACAAUUAUUGGGCCUAAAGCGUUCGUAGCCUGUCUGGUAAAUCCUUUGUGAAAUCGCAGAGCUUAACUCUGCGGCGUGCAGGGGACACUGCCAGACUUGGGACCGGGAGGAGCUAGAGGUAUUCUUUGGGGAGCGGUAAAAUGCUAUAAUCCAAAGAGGACCACCUGUGGCGAAGGCGUCUAGCUAGAACGGAUCCGACGGUGAGGGACGAAAGCUAGGGGAGCGAUCCGGAUUAGAUACCCGAGUAGUCCUAGCUGUAAACUCUGCGAGCUAGGUGUUGCAUACUCUUCGCGAAUGUGCAGUAUCGUAGCGAAGGCGAUAAGCUCGCCGCCUGGGAAGUAUA
RNAcentral lists this ribosomal RNA (513 nucleotides) under uncultured archaeon. Its description in RNAcentral is "bacterial SSU rRNA". It matches the Rfam family "Archaeal small subunit ribosomal RNA", at positions 325 to 839 of the family's 1478-position model. The record is from RNAcentral.